This 420-nucleotide ribosomal RNA is filed under the name uncultured bacterium. Its description in RNAcentral is "bacterial SSU rRNA". It matches the Rfam family "Bacterial small subunit ribosomal RNA", at positions 355 to 775 of the family's 1533-position model. The record is from RNAcentral.
UGGGGAAUAUUGCACAAUGGGCGCAAGCCUGAUGCAGCGACGCCGCGUGGGGGAUGACGGCCUUCGGGUUGUAAACCUCUUUCACCAUCGACGAAGCCGCUCUUUGUGGGGUGGUGACGGUAGGUGGAGAAGAAGCACCGGCCAACUACGUGCCAGCAGCCGCGGUAAUACGUAGGGUGCGAGCGUUGUCCGGAAUUACUGGGCGUAAAGAGCUCGUAGGUGGUUUGUCGCGUUGUUCGUGAAAUGCCACAGCUUAACUGUGGGCGUGCGGGCGAUACGGGCAGACUGGAGUACUGCAGGGGAGACUGGAAUUCCUGGUGUAGCGGUGGAAUGCGCAGAUAUCAGGAGGAACACCGGUGGCGAAGGCGGGUCUCUGGGCAGUAACUGACGCUGAGGAGCGAAAGCGUGGGGAGCGAACAG